RNAcentral lists this ribosomal RNA (200 nucleotides) under uncultured bacterium. RNAcentral describes it as "partial 16S ribosomal RNA". It matches the Rfam family "Bacterial small subunit ribosomal RNA", at positions 30 to 232 of the family's 1533-position model. The record is from RNAcentral.
AUUGAACGCUGGCGGCAGGCCUAACACAUGCAAGUCGAGCGGCGAAAGUUCUUCGGAAUGAGUAAAGCGGCGGACGGGUGAGUAAUACAUGGGAAUCUGCCUGAUAGUGGGGGACAACGUUUCGAAAGGAACGCUAAUACCGCAUACGCCCUACGGGGGAAAGGGGGGGAUCUUCGGACCUCUCGCUAUCAGAUGAGCCC